Long non-coding RNA from Triplophysa rosa, 3184 nucleotides. RefSeq lists it as uncharacterized. The record is from RefSeq and is a predicted model, not a curated record. The transcript has 3 exons. Lineage: Eukaryota; Metazoa; Chordata; Actinopteri; Cypriniformes; Nemacheilidae.
GCAGAACCAGCAACAAAAUAGAAGAACAAGAUGAAUCGCUCUACAAGCACUUUUGCGACCAUUUAAACGGAGACACUGGGUGAGAAAGCAGGUGUUGUCUACCUGUUACUGUUUAAUAUCACCUGGGGAGGAAGAAGAUGCAUCUCAUCUCCCACAAGAAUGAGCUUGUACGGGUAUGUGUGUGCGCUUCGUUUCGUGUGCGCAUCAAUCUAAUAGCCUGCUGAGACAAAUACACUUUUCUAAAUAUAAAGCUUUGCUAUCAUAGCAACAUUAGUGGCAGAAUGGGGAAACCUGCUGUGUGCUUCAUUUAAUGGCUCAGAGAACCAGCUCUUAAUUAGCUUCGUGGAACUGAUAGAAAUAGACUGGUCAAACUGAGAAAGUCUCGUAUCUAAUGAUGAAGUAAUACUUGUUUGAAUAGCAAAAGAAAUCUGAAGUGGGCUUAGCUUUCAGUGCAAUUCGAUAAAAACAGACAUUUUUAUCCAAAACAAUUAACAGUGCAUUUAAUCGUCACAUUUAGAAGAUUGGGAUUCAAUUGGGAUCUCUGGGAUUCAAACCCAUGACCUCUGGGCUACUAAUGCAAUCCUCUACCAAAACAAUCAUCAGGAACCCAAUGAAAUCCACCUCUCAAAUUCAUGGCGAAGGUGAAGCUUAUACGACAGUUCUACGCAAGAACAUGGUUUUGCAACACGUUACUUCUGAAAUUGAACAAGACAUCUGCGUUUUAUUAAUAUUCCGGCCAAUUGUACCUGCCAACCAAUGCGUAUCACAUAAUAAAGCAGAAAUGGCCCCUUAUCACACCUGUGGCAUUGUGGGUAAUGAAACAGUGCAGGCCAACUGUGCAUGCAUGUCUUUCCAGAUGUCGUCUCAAUUAUAAGAUUCAGAUAGAUAUGAAAUCUAAUUGAGCAAUGAGAAAAAGAGACAGAGGAACACGUCUAAGAGUCUUACGAGACUAAUCGCAAACGACAUGAGGAUAUUUUAUACUACCAAAUAGUAAUAACUUGUUUAAUUUGUAUGUAAAUAAGGGAAUAAUCGUUUUUCAAAGCUCUUUUUCAAUGCACUGACAUGGGAACAGAAACAGACACACCUCCAACACACAGAUUAAUGACUACACGGCACACCAUUUAUUUUUUACAGGAUAACAGAAAUGGUGUUCUCAUCAGGUACUGGAACCACUCAAGAACUGUCAAAUACUAAAGCUGCAUUUUUUUACUUUUGACUCUGUGUCGCCAUCUCUGGCACAAACCUAAAAUAGCAGGUUACCCAUAUAAAAAAACUGUGCAAUAAUUUACACUUUAAUUACACUUAGUGCACCUCAAGACUAUUUUUGUAUAUUUGUAUAUUGUACAUUUUUUCAUCUGGGAAUUUACAUACUUAGCUUUAUGUGGGUCAAAUGAUGUUAAACUAACUUAUUAGAGAUGCACCAAUACUACAUUUCUCCACCGAUACGAUAGCCGAUUAUUCAGAGUGAUGUCUACAGAUGCCGAUACUGAAACAGAUUCUGAAGAUUAAAUUAUUAUAUUCUUAACUUUAUCAAUGACUUUAAAUAUUGAACAUCAAACUGGUGAUGUUUCUUAACAUUUUCUAUACAGAACACAAAUUUGUUUCAUAUUUAUGUCCUCUUUUGAUUGACAGGAUAUCUCGGCCUUGAUCAUCGGCUGUUUUUAAACUAUAGCCGAUGGAGUGAAACCAAUACCAAUUUUUGACCGAUAUAUCAUUGCGUCUCUAUGACAUACUGACCCCAAAAAGUACCAUAGAGCUCAAAUUAUAAAUCAUUUCUAGAAGACAGAGAAGUGUAAAAAGGAAAUAUAUUUAAAGAUGCCAUGAAUUAAAAGCACAAUUUUAACCCGAGCUUUUGUUAUAUAAGAGGGAAUCAUAUUCACGCGAACAUCCUGUAAGUGUCAGAACUGAAAACACCCUUGUUACUGAGAUUACAACUGUUAUUGACACCAGGCCCAGUGAACACCAGGUUCUGGAAUGCACCUAUCUAUGACGACAUUGAUAGGUUGAACACCACCUCCACAGAAAGAAUAUCAACGACUACUUCUCUAGCCCCGCCCACUGGUUCGCGCAUGACAAUUCUGAAGUAACACAAGUGGCGCAGAACCAGACAGAGCGAGCAAGCAAUAAACAAACAUGCCGUUAAAGAUAGCUAAAUAUUGUGCCAUCCCUGGUUGUGGAAGAAUACAGUCGCUGCAUAACCUUCCUUCGGAUUCCGAUAUUAGGAAUGCGUGGUUAAAGUUUAUUUUUAAAGAUGUUCCAGCUCGUGGGAAAAACAUGGAGCGUUUGUUUGUUUCAUUUCUCCGAGGAUUCCUUCGUGAACAAGGCACAGGUCGACGCUGGAAUUGUGGAGAGACUAAAACUAAAAAGCAGUGCUGUGCCGUCAAUAUUUGAUCCGAUAGGAAUGGCGAAUGUUACCACAGCGAGCAGGAUGCAGUUCAUGGCCUGACCUGAUGGUAGAGCGGAGAAUGGGAAGUGGGGACCUGACAAGAGCUGAGAUGAUAGAGCUGGAUAAAGAAGGACGCGGUCUCUUGACAUGUCUUCACCACAAAACUUCAAAUGCUAUUAGAUUAUUAAUGAUAAUCUUAAACUAUAAUUUAUUUUAUUAUUAAGUUUAUUUAUUUUAUUUAGCCUUGUUGUGCAAGUUCUCUGGAGCUUGUGCAGAGGCAGCAGCUUUUGCCAGAGGGGAACUGGAAUCCCCUGGUUGGGCCUGGGUUCUCCUGAGGUUUUUUUUCUCGAUUAGAGUUUUGGGUUCCUCGCCACCGUUUGCAUACUGUUUUUGCACUAUCUGCCUGACCGGGGGGGCUGCUUUAGAAUCUUAAAGUUUUACUUAAUUAAUAUUGCAUAUAGGAAUUUAUUAUCUGUUAUAUUUGACCUGUGCUUCUCUCUCCUUUAUCCUAAAUGUGUGCUCUCACUGAGCGUGUGUGUGUGUGCGUACUUGUCUGUGUACGUGUGUGUGUGUGUGUGUGUGUGUGUCUCUGUGUCUGUGUGUGUUGGUGUGUGUGCGUGUUGUGUGUGUGGAGUGUUUUGUGUGUGGGUGUGUCUGUCUUCUGUGUUUUCAACCUUUUCUUGUUUUUGCAGGUACAACUUUGAUUGUUUUGCUUGUAGUCAAUGUGUCUCAUGUACAGCUGCUUUGUAACAAUGAAAAUUGUAAAAGCGCUAUAUAAAUAAAGUUGAGUUGAGUUGA